This 253-nucleotide ribosomal RNA is filed under the name uncultured bacterium. Its description in RNAcentral is "partial 16S ribosomal RNA". It matches the Rfam family "Bacterial small subunit ribosomal RNA", at positions 524 to 776 of the family's 1533-position model. The record is from RNAcentral.
UACGUAGGGUGCAAGCGUUAAUCGGAAUUACUGGGCGUAAAGCGUGCGCAGGCGGUUGUGCAAGACAGGUGUGAAAUCCCCGGGCUCAACCUGGGAACUGCAUUUGUGACUGCACGGCUGGAGUGCGGCAGAGGGGGAUGGAAUUCCGCGUGUAGCAGUGAAAUGCGUAGAUAUGCGGAGGAACACCGAUGGCGAAGGCAAUCCCCUGGGCCUGCACUGACGCUCAUGCACGAAAGCGUGGGGAGCAAACAGG